This 399-nucleotide transfer RNA is filed under the name uncultured Microcystis sp. RNAcentral's name for it is "partial contains 16S-23S ribosomal RNA intergenic spacer, and 23S ribosomal RNA". The stretch from base 133 to 206 matches the Rfam family "tRNA". The record is from RNAcentral. Lineage: Bacteria; Bacillati; Cyanobacteriota; Cyanophyceae; Chroococcales; Microcystaceae.
AAGGGAGACCUAAUUCAGGUAGGAGACGAAAAAAAAGUAGUCCCUACCAAGAAUCAAUCCCAAAAGGUCGGAACGAGGUAUGAGGCUUUCAAACUAGGUUCUGGGUUCAUAAAAGACCUGAAUCAGGGACAAGGGCUAUUAGCUCAGGUGGUUAGAGCGCACCCCUGAUAAGGGUGAGGUCCCUGGUUCGAGUCCAGGAUGGCCCACCUGCACAGGUGGCAAAAACAAGAGAAGCGAGGAAUCAGCACCUUAUCUUAUCUAUAUAUAUAUAGGAGAGAAUGCUGGCUCUGAGUAAAGAGUCCAGAGGAACCUUGAAAACUGCAUAGAGCUAGGUGAAAAAGCCAAAAAAGAAGACCGCAAGGUCAAGCUAAUAAGGGCUAACGGUGGAUACCUAGGCAC